UAGGCAAAAUGGCACCGUAACUUCGGGAGAAGGUGCGCCGGCUAGGGUGAAGGAUUUACUCCGUAAGCUCUGGCUGGUCGAAGAUACCAGGCCGCUGCGACUGUUUAUUAAAAACACAGCACUCUGCAAACACGAAAGUGGACGUAUAGGGUGUGACGCCUGCCCGGUGCCGGAAGGUUAAUUGAUGGGGUUAGCGCAAGCGAAGCUCUUGAUCGAAGCCCCGGUAAACGGCGGCCGUAACUAUAACGGUCCUAAGGUAGCGAAAUUCCUUGUCGGGUAAGUUCCGACCUGCACGAAUGGCGUAACGAUGGCGGCGCUGUCUCCACCCGAGACUCAGUGAAAUUGAAAUCGCUGUGAAGAUGCAGUGUAUCCGCGGCUAGACGGAAAGACCCCGUGAACCUUUACUGUAGCUUUGCACUGGACUUUGAGCCUGCUUGUGUAGGAUAGGUGGGAGGCUUUGAAGCGUGGACGCCAGUUCGCGUGGAGCCAUCCUUGAAAUACCACCCUGGCAUGCUUGAGGUUCUAACUCUGGUCCGUGAUCCGGAUCGAGGACAGUGUAUGGUGGGCAGUUUGACUGGGGCGGUCUCCUCCUAAAGAGUAACGGAGGAGUACGAAGGUGCGCUCAGACCGGUCGGAAAUCGGUCGCAGAGUAUAAAGGCAAAAGCGCGCUUGACUGCGAGACAGACACGUCGAGCAGGUACGAAAGUAGGUCUUAGUGAUCCGGUGGUUCUGUAUGGAAGGGCCAUCGCUCAACGGAUAAAAGGUACUCCGGGGAUAACAGGCUGAUACCGCCCAAGAGUUCAUAUCGACGGCGGUGUUUGGCACCUCGAUGUCGGCUCAUCACAUCCUGGGGCUGAAGCCGGUCCCAAGGGUAUGGCUGUUCGCCAUUUAAAGUGGUACGCGAGCUGGGUUUAGAACGUCGUGAGACAGUUCGGUCCCUAUCUGCCGUGGACGUUUGAGAUUUGAGAGGGGCUGCUCCUAGUACGAGAGGACCGGAGUGGACGAACCUCUGGUGUUCCGGUUGUCACGCCAGUGGCAUUGCCGGGUAGCUAUGUUCGGAAAAGAUAACCGCUGAAAGCAUCUAAGCGGGAAACUUGCCUCAAGAUGAGAUCUCACUGGGAACUUGAUUCCCCUGAAGGGCCGUCGAAGACUACGACGUUGAUAGGCUGGGUGUGUAAGCGUUGUGAGGCGUUGAGCUAACCAGUACUAAUUGCCCGUGAGGCUUGACCAUAUAACACCCAAACA
RNAcentral lists this ribosomal RNA (1245 nucleotides) under Pseudomonas aeruginosa VRFPA05. Its description in RNAcentral is "bacterial LSU rRNA". It matches the Rfam family "Bacterial large subunit ribosomal RNA", at positions 1714 to 2925 of the family's 2925-position model. The record is from RNAcentral. Lineage: Bacteria; Pseudomonadati; Pseudomonadota; Gammaproteobacteria; Pseudomonadales; Pseudomonadaceae.